RNAcentral lists this ribosomal RNA (483 nucleotides) under uncultured bacterium. RNAcentral's name for it is "bacterial SSU rRNA". It matches the Rfam family "Bacterial small subunit ribosomal RNA", at positions 28 to 493 of the family's 1533-position model. The record is from RNAcentral.
GAUGAACGCUGGCGGCGUGCCUAAUACAUGCAAGUAGAACGCUGAAGGAAGGAGCUUGCUCUUUCCGGAUGAGUUGCGAACGGGUGAGUAACGCGUAGGUAACCUGCCUGGUAGCGGGGGAUAACUAUUGGAAACGAUAGCUAAUACCGCAUAACAGUAGAUGUUGCAUGACAACUAUUUGAAAGGGGCAAUUGCUCCACUACCAGAUGGACCUGCGUUGUAUUAGCUAGUUGGUGAGGUAACGGCUCACCAAGGCGACGAUACAUAGCCGACCUGAGAGGGUGAUCGGCCACACUGGGACUGAGACACGGCCCAGACUCCUACGGGAGGCAGCAGUAGGGAAUCUUCGGCAAUGGACGGAAGUCUGACCGAGCAACGCCGCGUGAGUGAAGAAGGUUUUCGGAUCGUAAAGCUCUGUUGUAAGAGAAGAACGAGUGUGAGAGUGGAAAGUUCACACUGUGACGGUAUCUUACCAGAAAGGAC